Molecule: ribosomal RNA, 260 nt
Filed under: uncultured archaeon
Lineage: Archaea
Description: partial 16S ribosomal RNA
Rfam family: Archaeal small subunit ribosomal RNA
Source: RNAcentral
UAGCCGUAAACGAUACUCGCUAGGUGUCGGCCACGGUGCGACCGUUGUCGGUGCCGUAGGGAAGCCGUGAAGCGAGCCACCUGGAAGUACGGCCGCAAGGCUGAAACUUAAAGGAAUUGGCGGGGGAGCACCACAACGGGUGGAGCUUGCGGUUUAAUUGGAUUCAACGCCGGAAAUCUUACCGGGACCGACAGCAACAUGAAGGCCAGGCUGAAGACUUUGCCGGAUUAGCUGAGAGGUGGUGCAUGGCGUAGUCGUGU